Stomoxys calcitrans (stable fly) is the source of this 400-nucleotide long non-coding RNA. RefSeq lists it as uncharacterized. The transcript has 2 exons. NCBI's taxonomy places the organism in Eukaryota, Metazoa, Arthropoda, Insecta, Diptera, Muscidae. The record is from RefSeq and is a predicted model, not a curated record.
UCAGCCAUGACUGAUGGUUAUGUCUACAUGUGACGAAUAAACCUUUGUUUUUACCAAAACUCUUACAAUGACCAUACAUCAGAUGUACCAUGUAAACUCAGCAUAAGGAAACAAAUGAAAAUAUCUAUAAAGACUAGAACCAAUCGUCAUUUUACCUUACCCUUUAUUACACUUACUUAAUGACAAGGAAAACAAUGACUAUAGAUAAUAAUUAUGCAACCAUCAAACACACCAAACACCAAAUAGAUAUUAAAAAAAAUUAAGCACAAAAAAUAUUAACAAUAAUAAAACAAAAAUAAAAAGCUAUAGCAAACCAACGGAAAAAGUGUUAAUUAUGGAAAAAUAACAUAUUAAACAAUAAACAUACAGUGCCACACAUAAGAAUUGGCACAACCAUCAA